This 463-nucleotide long non-coding RNA is filed under the name Solanum tuberosum (potato). RNAcentral describes it as "long non-coding RNA (STUB_LNC004153)". Lineage: Eukaryota; Viridiplantae; Streptophyta; Magnoliopsida; Solanales; Solanaceae. The record is from RNAcentral.
GGUCAAAAGAAAGUGCCACUUUGGAGUUUUAUCAACAACUUGCCUGUGUAGGUGACUAGGUCGUGAUCCGGUAUUUUCUGAAUCCUUAUGUAAGUAAUUACAAAAGAGAUUCUUUCAACAAAGAUGUGAGUUAGGAAGGAUUGGUCGACAAAAUAUAAACCGAAGAUGGAACCUUGAUAUACUCCAGAACAAUAUAUUUUUGUUACCCCGAGAUAUAUUAGAAGCAGCCGAUCAUUUGAUUGAGCUGAAAUUUGGAAUGGGUGCACUUGAUGAUAUGAAUCAUGUGAAAAAUAAAAGCCAGGUGAACUAAGAUGAAGUGCAGAGCAUCCGGUCUACUUUCCUUUGUGUAACAUUAAAAUAAAUAAGGAUAUACUGGAAAAAGUUUAAUAGCAAGACAAAUCCACCCUCCUCCAUGAAGAUGAAAUAAAUUCUACACCAAGAGUAUAAUAGCAAGCUAAGUCCA